AAUGAACGCUGAAGGCGUGCCUAACACAUGCAAGUCGCACGCGAAAAGGACUUCGGUCCUUAGUAGAGUGGCGCACGGGUGAGUAACGCGUGGAUAAUCUACCCUAGAGUGGGGGACAACAUUUCGAAAGGAAUGCUGAUCCCGCAUACGUCUGCGGUACAUAAGUACUGUAGGGAAAGAUGGCCUCUGAUUUAAGCUAUCGCUCUUGGAUGAGUCCGUGUUAGAUUAGCUAGUUGGUGGGGUAAUGGCCUACCAAGGCAACGAUCUAUAGCUGGUUUGAGAGGAUGAUCAGCCACACUGGGACUGAGACACGGCCCAG
This 319-nucleotide ribosomal RNA is filed under the name uncultured bacterium. RNAcentral's name for it is "bacterial SSU rRNA". It matches the Rfam family "Bacterial small subunit ribosomal RNA", at positions 29 to 334 of the family's 1533-position model. The record is from RNAcentral.